Long non-coding RNA from Anolis sagrei ordinatus, 2069 nucleotides. RefSeq lists it as uncharacterized. NCBI's taxonomy places the organism in Eukaryota, Metazoa, Chordata, Lepidosauria, Squamata, Anolidae. The record is from RefSeq and is a predicted model, not a curated record.
CUGCAGUCAAGGAAGGUUAAGCCAAAUGCAGUUUUGUUCACAACUGGAUCACAAGCUCCAGAGAUGUUCUUCCCAUGAAAGCUUUGUUCCUUCAUAGCUGAUCUUCAAGACCUAGUCUUCUGAUUUCUUGCCUGCAGCCUCCAUUCUGAUUAAUGACUGAGCCAAGAUGAGAGAUUUUUAGCAGCACUGGAAUGAUGGUGAAGAAGACAUGGAUAAACACUUUUGGGCAUAGAUUGGACAUCUACAGCAGGGGUCCCCAAACUAAGACCCACAGGCCAGAUGCGACCCCCCAAGGACAUUUACCCAGCCCCUGCUCUAAAUCUUUAACUUAGGGUGGUCUUAAUCUGAAACAACUUGAAGGCACACAACAAGGAUCCUAAUUAACUUGACUAUCUCAUCAGCCAAAAGCAGGCCACAUUUCCCACUGAAACACCGAUCUGACUGGAGGUUUGUGGAUUAACGCGAGAUGCAAUGGGCGUGCCGCUAUCCCGACUGGAAGCACUCCACUGUAUCCUUUUUUCCUUUUUGUUUCUCUUUUCUUUUUUCUUUCUUUCUUUUGUUUUAUUUUUGUGGUUAUGUUCUUUUCUUUUCAACACAACCGUUUCUUUACAACAUAUGGGAUGGAAUUUCCCCUCCUUUACUAAGUAUAGUUUUUAAAACUUAACAUAUUUGCAAAUGUUAUUACAUGGAAUCUUAGACGUCUAACAAUUCUUAAAGAGAGAAAAUGGUUCUUUUUCACCUAAAGAAACAGAAAACUGAUAUUGCUCUUUUGCAGGAGAACAAGUGGCAAUUCUUCAAAAGCAAAAUAUGUCGUCAUUUACAAGAGUGUUCCACUUUUAGUGACUCAAAUCACUCUAGAAACAGAAGAUCACAUCCUUAUACAUCAAAACCUGAAAUAAGACUUUGAUAAAUUUAUAUGGCCCAAAUUUGGAUUCUCCUAAUAUAUUUGAUCAAUUUGACUAGCAUUAUAUAACCAUGACUGUAUAUGACAAUUAGAUAGGGAGGAGGCUGUUAAUGGUAUUCAUUAUUCCAUUUUAUAUGGGAAACUUCACCAUGCAAAUUAAAUUGUGUGUUCUGAUGCUAUAAUUAAAAGUCACAUGCCUGAACUAGGAUUGGAAGGUGUCUGCUGCCACCCUUUUUUCCCUCAUUUUUGCUUGGAUCAAAAAAGACCUAUGCAAGCGUAAUGUGAAUUACACCAGCAGAUGUCACUAACAGAAUGCCAGCAGUUGCAUGUUCUUUUGCGUUAUCUUAUUGUAUAUCACUCCGGUUUAUUUUCAGAAUAUUAUGCACAUGGUUUAAAGUAUUUUAAUUUCUCAAGAUGUUUAAGAUGUUUUGGACAUUUUAUUUUUGCUUUUUUAGACUUUUAAAACUUGUUAAUGUCAGGUUUUUUUGUAACUUACCCUCAGAUCUCAAAAUAUAAGGUAGGAGAUAAAUAUUUUAAUAAAUAAUGAGUAAAUAAAAUUAACACUAUUUAGGACAUUUAUAUAAGGACAUUUCUGAUUCAUUUUUUUAAAAAAGACACAGCUGUCAUUUUCUGAAGAUGGGUUUAAUUUUCCAGAUUUGAGUUGAUAUUUCAAGACAUAUUUCCUGACUCGUACAAAUAACUGGCAAGUACAACCAGAUUUGAUUGCAUUUCUUGGCUUAUCUUAUAAUUAACCUAGUUAAUUUUAACUGGAUUACUGUAGGUUCACCUGUCUGAGUAAGAAAGGAUGGUGCCUGCUGCAAUUUCUGAUGUUAGAGUAGACUAGUACAGGCAAUCCCCGAGUUACAAACAUCUGACUUACAAACGACUCAUAAGAACAGGGAUAAAACAACAAGAACUGAGAGGAAUCUACCCCUAAGAAUGGAAAUUCACUCCUGAAAGAGUUCUCAGAGGGAAAAGGUGUCUCCACUGAAACUUUUUCUGACAUUCCUUGUUUCUACAAUAAGACUAUUUUUUUCAAAAUCCAAUGAUCACAGGGACAGACGGUGAGGUGAAAUCUUCUGAAGAGGGACAAAAACAGCAAAACAAACACCAUAGGGUGUUAAUCGUUACCUAUGCUGUCCAAAGUGUGUGUGUGUGUGUGUGU